RNAcentral lists this ribosomal RNA (622 nucleotides) under Isochrysis galbana. Its description in RNAcentral is "partial Bacterial large subunit ribosomal RNA". It matches the Rfam family "Bacterial large subunit ribosomal RNA", at positions 1127 to 1850 of the family's 2925-position model. The record is from RNAcentral. Lineage: Eukaryota; Haptophyta; Isochrysidales; Isochrysidaceae.
AGAUAGCGUAACAGCUCACUGGUCUAAACAAGCCGUCCUGCGCCGAAGAUGUAUCGGGGCUCAAACUAUGUACCGAAGCUGAGGAUUCACACUUAUGUGUGAGUGGUAGCGGAGCGUUCCGUAGGCCUGCGAAGGUGUACCGCGAGGUAUGCUGGAGGUAUCGGAAGUGAGAAUGCUGACAUGAGUAGCGAUAAAGAGUGUGAGAAACACUCUCGCCGAAAGUCCAAGGGUUCCUGCGUAAAGCUAAUCUGCGCAGGGUUAGUCGGCCCCUAAGGCGAGGGCGAAAGCCGUAGUCGAUGGGAAUCAGGUUAAUAUUCCUGAACCUGUGGGUGGUGACGAAUAGCGUAAGUUGUAUCUCCUUAUCGGAUUGGAGGUGCCGCGAAGCUGUUCCAGGAAAUAACCCCCACGUGAGACCGUACCCGAAACCGACACAGGUGGACAGGUAGAGUAUACCAAGGCGCUUGAGAGAACUAUGCUGAAGGAACUCGGCAAAUUACAUCCGUAACUUCGGGAGAAGGAUGCCCACCAUGAAGGCAACUUUUUGGUGGGGGCACAGACCAGGGGGUGGCGACUGUUUACUAAAAACAUAGGGCUCUGCGAAGUCGCAAGACGACGUAUAGGG